RNAcentral lists this ribosomal RNA (301 nucleotides) under uncultured bacterium. RNAcentral describes it as "partial 16S ribosomal RNA". It matches the Rfam family "Bacterial small subunit ribosomal RNA", at positions 509 to 809 of the family's 1533-position model. The record is from RNAcentral.
CAGCCGCCGCGGGAAUACGGAGGGGGCUAGCGUUGUUCGGAAUUACUGGGCGUAAAGCGCACGUAGGCGGCUUGGUAAGUUAGAGGUGAAAGCCUGGAGCUCAACUCCAGAAUUGCCUUUAAGACUGCCGAGCUAGCAGGUGAGAGAGGUAAGUGGAAUUCCGAGUGUAGAGGUGAAAUUCGUAGAUAUUCGGAAGAACACCAGUGGCGAAGGCGGCUUACUGGCUCAUACUGGACGCUGAGGUGCGAAAGCGUGGGGAGCAAACAGGAUUAGAUACCCCGGUAGUCCCUGUCUCUUAUAA